Molecule: non-coding RNA, 105 nt
Filed under: Mesocricetus auratus (golden hamster)
Lineage: Eukaryota; Metazoa; Chordata; Mammalia; Rodentia; Cricetidae
Source: RNAcentral
GGCUGGCUCAAAGGUAGUGAGUUAUUUAUUGUUCAAGGUCAGCUACAUUUUAGACUCCUUUUCUAUGAUUUUUCCUGUCACACUAUCCCACCUGACAAGUUCUAA